GAUGAACGCUAGCGGCAGGCCUAACACAUGCAAGUCGAGGGAGAAGCCCUUUCGGGGGCAGAAACCGGCGCACGGGUGCGUAACGCGUAUGCAACCUACCUUUCACAGGGGGAUAGCCCGAAGAAAUUUGGAUUAAUACCCCAUAAUAUUAUUGGAUGGCAUCAUUUGAUAAUUAAAACUGCGGUGGUGAAAGAUGGGCAUGCGUCCUAUUAGCUAGUUGGAGUGGUAACGGCACCCCAAGGCUACGAUAGGUAGGGGUCCUGAGAGGGAGAUCCCCCACACUGGUACUGAGACAGGGACCAGAGUCCUACGGGAGGCAGCAGUGAGGAAUAUUGGGCAAUGGUCGGAAGACUGAACCAGCCAUGCCGCGUGCAGGAAGAAUGCCUUAUGGGUUGUAAACUGCUUUUAUAUGGGAAGAAUAAGGCGUACGUGUACGUUGAUGACGGUACCAUAUGAAUAAGCAUCGGCUAACUCCGUG
RNAcentral lists this ribosomal RNA (478 nucleotides) under uncultured bacterium. Its description in RNAcentral is "partial 16S ribosomal RNA". It matches the Rfam family "Bacterial small subunit ribosomal RNA", at positions 28 to 507 of the family's 1533-position model. The record is from RNAcentral.